GGGAAGCUAACAUAAGAGUGGAUGCGAAGCUGGCUUUAAAUAGAGGGAACCAUGAGGAGAGUAAAUGUACCUUUCUUGGCUGAUCCCUUUCGUUGUAUGGCGUGCUCGUUUGGGUUGGGCGUCGGCUAAGAGUGCUCGGAGCUUGGAUUAACUCCAGUCGCCAAUCAGUUUGAGUGACAGGUGGUGGUUAUCGUAGGCGAUUGAUUUUGGAAACGUUUCAACUUCAACCCGUAACAGGUAAUCCCUAAGCUUAGAUGGUUUGGAGCUGCGAGGGACUCGGAGAUGGCUACACUACUAUUUUUAUUUCUUUUAAUUGCAAUAAGUAGCCGAUUUUUUCUUUAUAAGUUUUAUCUUAUUAAUAUUAUUGUUUGGUUUUGGGUUGUAAUAAGACCAUUUUAAUUAUUUUUCUGGGAUUAUUUUAUUUUUAAUAACUUUAAUCUGUUUGUUAAUAAAUGGGCUAGACUUAGGAUGUGUUUUCUAAAUGAUAAUUGUUUUCAAAAUAACACCACGCCACGAUUAUUCGAUUUAUCAAAGAUUUCAACUUAAAUAAAUUACAACUCGAUUUAACCAAGUGUGGCAAUGGUUGUGGGCAUGUCCAGGAUUGGAUCCAUUAGAAGAGCUUGGUACUUAAGCAGCCUUCAUGGCUCACCUCCUCUGUUACGAAUUCCUACUUGGUGCCCAGCUCCCAUUCACUUUGUUAGCUUAACAAAAGUCAGUUUUUAAAGCACUAAAACGAAACAUGGGUUUUUAACUUCAAUGUGGCACAUCAGAUUCUGCCAUAACGUCUGGGCCGGGUUUGGGGUGUUACAUUUAGUGGUAUCAGAGCUAGGUUACAAAACUCGGCUGUGGUAUGGGUAGCAAAAAAAUAUUGUUAUUUUUUUCUUUUCUUUUUUCGAAAUUGGGGUUUGAAAAGGGUUUUUCUAAAAUUUUGUUUUGAAAUCUCUCAACAAAACUUGACUUGUUUCUGAAAGAUGUUACUAGACGUGUGGCACACCGAGUCUCCGGCACCAAAUCUGUAAGUUCUCUAACUCUGUUUGCUGUUAUAGAUUGAAGUGCUAUGUUGAGAAACUACUAUAGAUAGUAGCACAAUAUUGGAACUCUCUAGUUAGAGUAAACUGUAACGCUUGAAUUUAGAUUUAGUAUUUAUUUGGUGUGCGUUUUUGAAAUGUAGAAAUUGUUUGCAUGUGAAAUCUAUCCUUUCCGAUGGAUAAAUGUUUUGGGUGUAUGUUAGUAUUAUUAGUAUCAGAGUGCGCAGCGGAAAUGUGGUGGUGUAGUCUGAGAGUGGAAAAUUUCGACGAUGAAAUUUCUUUAAGGGGGUAAAAUUGUAACACCCCGAAUUUGGGCCUAGAAGUAUUGGGCCUUAAGUGCGGGUUCGUAAGGAGGUUGUAUAUAGGUAUUUAAUUGUGCAAUGAAAUAACACAAUUAAAUGUUUGCCUUAGUAGUUAAUGGCUUUGAGAACUGUUGGAGAAAUCUUGGGUUCAAACUUGGGCUUUAGCAAAAAUUUUGGUAUUAAGUGAAAAAAACCUGGAUGCUUGGAUGAGGGCCUUUCGAAUUAUUGUGGUAAAUAACUGACACAAGGAAGCAUGUAGUCUAGUGGUUGUGGUGUCAUUAAGGUUGUAUGGGAGCCUGGGUUCAAGUCUUGGCUUUUGCAAUUUAUUUUGGUUUUUUAAGGGAACGUGGACUUUGGCCUUUAGACCUUAUAAUUAAUUGGGGAUAAAAUAUGACACAAAAAGCCUUGUGGCUUAGUGGCAAGUAGCGUGUGGAGCAUUUAAGGGGAGGCAAGGGUUCGAAUCCCAUGGCAAGCAAGGAGCAUUUAUUUUGCUAGCAGGGAGCAGCAAGAGUUGGUGUUGAAUUUAAACUCUGAUGUUGGAGGGAUCCCACAUCGGGAAGCUAACAUAAGAGUGGAUGCGAAGCUGGCUUUAAAUAGAGGGAACCAUGAGGAGAGUAAAUGUACCUUUCUUGGCUGAUCCCUUUCGCUGUAUGGCGUGCUCGUUUGGGUUGGGUGUCGGCUAAGAGUGCUCGGAGCUUGGAUUAACUCCAGUCGCCAAUCAGUUUGAGUGACAGGUGGUGGUUAUCGUAGGCGAUUGAUUUUGGAAACGUUUCAACUUCAACCCGUAACAGGUAAUCCCUAAGCUUAGAUGGUUUGGAGCUGCGAGGGACUCGGAGAUGGCUACACUACUAUUUCUGUUUCUUUUAAUUGCAAUAAGUAGCUGAUUUAUUUCUUUAUAAGUUUUAUCUUAUUAAUAUUAUUGUUUGGUUUUGGGUUGUAAUAAGACCAUUUUAAUUAUUUUUCUGGGAUUAUU
This 2303-nucleotide long non-coding RNA is filed under the name Gossypium barbadense (sea-island cotton). RNAcentral describes it as "long non-coding RNA (GBAR_LNC012568)". The record is from RNAcentral. Lineage: Eukaryota; Viridiplantae; Streptophyta; Magnoliopsida; Malvales; Malvaceae.